GCCUGGACGCGUUUUGGGCGAAUUUUGACACCUUUUUGACUCCAAAUAGGAUUGGAUUUGUUCCUAAACUAAAAAUUGGACUUGUAACCUAUAAAUACAUGAUGUAAGGCAUAAAAUAAAGGGGAGAUUACAUAGCUUAGCUAGGAGAUUACAUAGCUUAGCUUGGAGAUUACAUAGCUUAGCCUAGAUUAAACACUCCUUUAGAUUAGAAAAUAACCCUAGUUCUUAUUAGUUUUGGAGAUUGAAGCAACUUGGAGACCAUUGAAGAUCAAGAGCAAGAGCAAGAGGGGAGCAUCAGAUUUGCUGACAACAGAUUCUAUUCUCUUCUCUCAUCUUACUUUUAUCUUUUGAUGUCUAUUCAGUUGUGGAUUCUUGGUUUUAAUUCAUUAAUUAUGAACUAACUAUUUUUGAGAUUUCAAUUGAACUUUUUAUGGCUAUGAAUUAG
RNAcentral lists this long non-coding RNA (445 nucleotides) under Panax ginseng (ginseng). RNAcentral describes it as "long non-coding RNA (PGIN_LNC005776)". Lineage: Eukaryota; Viridiplantae; Streptophyta; Magnoliopsida; Apiales; Araliaceae. The record is from RNAcentral.